Molecule: ribosomal RNA, 440 nt
Filed under: uncultured bacterium
Lineage: Bacteria
Description: partial 16S ribosomal RNA
Rfam family: Bacterial small subunit ribosomal RNA
Source: RNAcentral
CCUACGGGAGGCAGCAGUAGGGAAUUUUGCGCAAUGGGCGAAAGCCUGACGCAGCAACGCCGCGUGAUCGAGACGCCCUUCGGGGUGUAAAGAUCUGUCAUUGGGGACGAUACUUGACGGUACCCACAGCGGAAGCACCGUCUAACUCCAUGCCAGCAGCCGCGGUAAUACGGGGGUUGCAAGCGUUCUCCGGAAUCAUUGGGCGUACAGAGGUCGUAGGCGGCACGUACAGUCUGGUGUUAAAGGAAGAGGCUCAACGUCGGUACGGAACUGGAUACUUGCGAGCUAGAAAGCGGUAGAGGUAAAGGGAAGGUCUGGUGUAGCGGUGAAAUGCUUAGAUAUCAGGAGGAACAUCGAUGGCGUAGGCACUUUACUGGGCCGUAAUUGACGUUGAGGAACGAAAGCCAGGGGAGCAAAUGGGAUUAGAUACCCGUGUAGUC